GGGGGUGUACUGGCUUCGACGCCGGUGAUGAAACUCUGUGGAGCAUGCCGAGAGUGAGAUGCCUCUCGUAAAUAAAAAUCUCAAUUGCUUAACCGCAAACGACGACACUUACGCACUCGCCGCCUAACGGCGAAGCACUGAACCUGAAUGUCUGUGGUCGGGGAAUGUGCGCGUACGCUACACAGGCUCGCUUUAUGUUUCGCCUCGCGACACAAAGCUAAAACCUAGAGGAUCGCUUGUUGCGCCCUGCCUGUCGGGUAGCAACCGGCUAGAUUAAUUGAUAAGGCUAAGCAUGUAGAACCAGGGGCGUAGUGCCGUCGGACGGGGGUUCAACUCCCCCCACCUCCACCA
RNAcentral lists this transfer-messenger RNA (351 nucleotides) under Fluviicoccus sp. It matches the Rfam family "transfer-messenger RNA". Rfam says of the family: Bacterial tmRNA, also known as 10Sa RNA or SsrA, is named for its dual tRNA and mRNA-like properties. Its role is to liberate the mRNA from a stalled ribosome. Lineage: Bacteria; Pseudomonadati; Pseudomonadota; Gammaproteobacteria; Moraxellales; Moraxellaceae. The record is from RNAcentral.